This 1221-nucleotide ribosomal RNA is filed under the name Triticum aestivum (bread wheat). RNAcentral describes it as "partial small subunit ribosomal RNA". The record is from RNAcentral. Lineage: Eukaryota; Viridiplantae; Streptophyta; Magnoliopsida; Poales; Poaceae.
AUGGCGUCCGCCGCCUCGCCCGCGCCGUCGUGGGUCAUCCUGGGCAGCGUGCCGCGGGUGCUCUCGGCGGCCGACGCCAACGCCGACCUCCCUCCGGGUCCAGGCGCCGCCGACUUCUCCCUCGCGCUGCCGGCGCCCCCGCGCGUCGCGCUCCUCACCAUCCCCCCGCGCAUCUUCCCGUGCCGCACCACCCCCGAGAACUUCCCCUCCGUCCUCGCCGCCGACCCCUCCGCGGGCCUCCUCCUCCUCCACGCCGACCAGGGCCGCGCCACGGGCCCCACCAUCAUUGACACCCCCGGCCACCAGGAGUUCUCCUGGCGCCCGCUCGUCGCGGGCUACUUCGUGCUCGACGCCGCCGCCGCCUCCGCCCUGCCGCUCCCCAAGCCCGAGCUCAUCGCGCACCCGGGCCACCUCGGCCUCGUCGCCUCCCCGGUCGGCGAGGGCUACAUGGUCGCCGAGCUGCAGCCCUUCCUCGGCGGCGACACGGCCUACCUCCUGCGCUUCUCGUCGCAGGUCGGGGAGUGGGUCAGCAAGAGCGUCGGCUACCCACUCCCGGCACGCCCGCUCAGCCCCAACGGCGUCGUCGCCUGCUCCGGGAGGCUCUGGUGGGUCGACCUCUCCUGGUGCCUCCUCACCUGCGACCCCUUCGCCGACGCGCCGGCGCUCGACGUCGUCCCGCUCCCGGACGGCAAGGCGCUCAAGUCCAAGGAAGCCUGGGGGCUGCUCGACAAGUACCGCUGCGUGGGCGUCAGCGCCGGCAAGCUGCGGUUCGUCGACAUGUACCGCAACCGCAACAGCAACGGGGCCGCGCAGAUCAGCGUCUGGACGCUCGCCGACUACCCGUAGUCCACGGACUGGACGCUGGAGUGCGAGACCACCUUCGCGGAGAUCUGCAACGACGCCAGCUACAAGGCCACUGGUCUGCCGAGGAAGAUCCCCGUGCUCGCGCUCAUCCAUCCCACCAACCCCGACGUGGUCUACUUCUUCCAGGACGAGCAGCUGAUCGGCGUCGACGUGCGUGCCCGCAAGGUCGUGGGGUGCGAGGUCUACGAGCUGGUUGAGCCGCCGCGCGAAGACGUCGCUUCCCGCUUCGUUCACGCUUGGCAGCUGCCACCGGCUCUCUGCUCAGGUCCUGCAGAGGAAACCGUCGAUGCCGCAGCUGAAGAGCUGGAGCAACUGAAUCUGCAUGAUUAUCUCAAAAAGUACAAGCUCAUCUGUUAG